CAAGGAUCGUAAAGAAAUAUUACGAUACAAAUAUUGUACAACGUUUUAUCUAAUCUGUUUUUGUAAUUUUUUAAAUUGUGUUUAUGGAGAAAAAAUAAGGCGGCUAAAUUAGUAACCGUAGUUACUGAUUUGUUUACGUUUUUCACAAGCGUUCAGUGAAAGCAAUUUAUGUGCAAAAAUUAGUGAUUCAGAGGAUAAUUUGCCUUCCGAUAUUGAAGUGGCUACUCAAUCUGUCAUCGAUACGUUAGUUCCUGGUAAAUCUAAAGAACGUUACGAGAUAGCGUACAAAUAUUUUGAUGAAUGAAUGGAAGUUAAGAAAAUUGGUGACGUUUCUGAACAAGGUGAUGCAUUCCUAUUUUGCUGAACAAGCAGAGAAGUUAAAACCAUCCUCCUUAUGGUGCCGAUAUUCCAUGUUGCGAACCCUGGUGUUGAUUACGAAGAAUGUUGAUAUUUCUGAAUAUCAUCAGGUUGUGGCUUUCUUCUCGGAAAUCAGAAGGUUCCCGACCCAGAAAAUCGUUUAUUUGUUCCAAAGAAGAGAUAAAUCAAUUUCUUAAGAAAAUGAAUGAUAAGGAUUUCUUAUUUUUGAAGUUUCAGGUUGUUUUGAUAGUCGGAGUGUUUGGUGCUUGUCGACACGAGGAGAUCACAAAUUUUACGACACGAGACGUUAGAGCCGAAAAAGAAUUUAGAUACAGAUUCACCGAUUAACAAAAUAGACGAACAACUAUUUGAAGAUGUCACUACAACUAAAAUUGUUGACAUCAUUUAUUACUUAGCUGGAUUUGUCGCAAAAAAUUGUACAAUACUUCAAAAUGUAAUAUUUGCCGUGAACAGUUAAAUAUAUAACAAAGAGGAUCCAUGUUCUAGUACAUCUGAAUUUACUAGUACAAAAUCCAGGGGGUGGUUAAACCAUCCAGAUUUGUUAAUGUUUAAUAUGUUCCGAUGGUGGAAGGGAUACUUAUGAAAUAUAUCUAUUUUGUGGAUGUAUUCGAUGCAACAAUUGAAGAGCUAUUCGUAACAAAAAUUUUUAUGACUAUUUACUUUCCUUUUUCUUGUGAAGAGCAUAGAAUGGAAAUAUUUUCAAAGGCAAUAUAUUUUUACACAAUUAUGCAAAUUAAACAAUUUUAUAAACAGGAACAAGAGAAAACAACCAAGGCAUGUGCAGAAAAAAGAAAAGAGUCUCGAUUACAGACUACGUAAUAAUGUUGUCUUGUGAAACGAACAGAAGUGAGUGAAACUAAUAUAAUAUGUGAAGACGAAAAGAACUAUCUUUAACAACGAG
Zophobas morio is the source of this 1279-nucleotide long non-coding RNA. RefSeq lists it as uncharacterized. The transcript is spliced from 3 exons. Lineage: Eukaryota; Metazoa; Arthropoda; Insecta; Coleoptera; Tenebrionidae. The record is from RefSeq and is a predicted model, not a curated record.